This 275-nucleotide ribosomal RNA is filed under the name uncultured bacterium. Its description in RNAcentral is "partial 16S ribosomal RNA". It matches the Rfam family "Bacterial small subunit ribosomal RNA", at positions 399 to 691 of the family's 1533-position model. The record is from RNAcentral.
GCGUGUGUGAAGAAGGUCUUCGGAUUGUAAAGCACUUUCGACAGGGACGAUGAUGACGGUACCUGUAGAAGAAGCCCCGGCUAACUUCGUGCCAGCAGCCGCGGUAAUACGAAGGGGGCUAGCGUUGCUCGGAAUGACUGGGCGUAAAGGGCGCGUAGGCGGUUUAUUGGGUCAGAUGUGAAAUUCCUGGGCUUAACCUGGGGGCUGCAUUUGAAACUAAUAGGCUAGAGUUCGGAAGAGGGUCGUGGAAUUCCCAGUGUAGAGGUGAAAUUCGU